UCUUCUUCUAGCUCCCGCGCCACCUCGUGGAUUCAGAUUCCGGCGCGCAUGGAGAUGCCGAUCUUCCUCUGUCCAUGGUGCCGGGCGGAGGUUGAUCGGACGGUUUCGCGCACACCGAAGAACCAUAACCGUCCGUUCUACGUGUGCAGCGAGAGUGGGGUGAAAUGUUUCUUCCUUUGGGUCCAUGCUCUGGCCAAGACUCUGAUGAUUGAACUGUUAGAAAAGCACGAAGAAUGGUUGCCCAUCCUGCCACGAAUGGCAGCGGCUGCAGCACGAGCUCCGGAAGAAGAGACGGAGGGCGGAGCACGCAAUGACAGAGAGGUAGCCGUUGAGCUUAGGAGGUUGAACCAGAAGAUUAGGAAGCUCGAAGAUCAAGCACAAAUACCCAUUUGCAAUUACAUUUGGGCAUUUGAAGGUAUGGUAAUUGCACUAGGCGUAAUGUUCAAAUUGUAUGGAUUUGGGAGGAAUUUUUAA
Molecule: ribosomal RNA, 474 nt
Filed under: Triticum aestivum (bread wheat)
Lineage: Eukaryota; Viridiplantae; Streptophyta; Magnoliopsida; Poales; Poaceae
Description: partial small subunit ribosomal RNA
Source: RNAcentral